Molecule: non-coding RNA, 306 nt
Organism: Fukomys damarensis (Damara mole-rat)
Lineage: Eukaryota; Metazoa; Chordata; Mammalia; Rodentia; Bathyergidae
Source: Rfam
AGAUGUGUAGGGUGAUCUGGCUACGACAUCUAUCACCAGGGUUGAUUUGGCUGAUUUGGCUGGCCAGGCAGGUGUCCCUUUCCUCCUUCACCACUUCAUGUGCGUCCCUCACAAAAGGUAAAAAAGAAGGACCACCCCUGCUACAGAAGGACCAUUUCUUCAUCUAGGGUAUAUGAGCAGCUGCAGUCCCCUGCUAGAACCUUCAAACAAGCUCUCCAGAAUACUCCACUAGUCCCCGAAUUCUUCAUCUAGGGUAUAUGAGCAGCUGCAGUCCCCUGCUAGAACCUUCAAACAAGCUCUCCAGAA